AAUUUUUUUUAAUACCAUUUUCAGCUUUUCGUUCCUUUCUUUUUUCUCUUCUUCAGGCGACAAUGUCUCCCUCUUCCUCCAUUAUGCAAGCUUCUCUUCUUCCAUGGCCUCCUCACUUCCUCCGCAUGGAAGUCUCCUGAAGCACCCUUCAACAUAAACGUUGAUGCUGAUGGAAGCCUCUAUAAUCUUCCCCUCACUGUGAUUGUUGUUGAAUUAUUGGCAAUAAAAAUGGUUUGCAGCUGGCUAAUAGAUUUGGUUUGAGCUAUUUUCUGGUUGAAACGGACUGCCUCAAUGUUGUCCAUUGGCUUAAGCAAAAUAGCAAUUUAUGUAGUGAUGUUGAUGGAAGUUUUUUGAACAUUAAGUCUCUGUGUUGUAAUCCGGGACUAUUAGGCAUUAGUUUUACUCAUAGAAAUGCUAAUGGGCUUGUAAUCCUGUGACUUUGAAUACUAAAUCUUCUACUACUUGGAAUAGGGAUGUGCCCGUUUCUUUUUUUGUUAUGCAUACAUAGCAGACCUGCCAUUUCAAUUCCCAUGUAAUAUCUUUCUCUUUUUCAAAGUAAUGUAAUCUGGUUUUGUUUGAAUGAAA
Long non-coding RNA from Humulus lupulus (European hop), 585 nucleotides. RefSeq lists it as uncharacterized. The record is from RefSeq and is a predicted model, not a curated record. The transcript has 2 exons. Lineage: Eukaryota; Viridiplantae; Streptophyta; Magnoliopsida; Rosales; Cannabaceae.